AUGAUAAUACUCCUAAUUGGAUAUCUGAGGUAAUUCUUGAGCUAAUACAUGCGUUUUUGCAGAGCGUCUUUUGGCGCUCUGUGCAUUUAUUGGUCCAAAACCAAGCGGCCUUGGUCGUUUAAUUUGGUGACUCUGAAUAACUCUGUGAAUCGCACGGUCUCGUACUGGCGAUAGGUCUAUCAAGUUUCUGUUCUAUCAACUUUUGAUGGUUCUGUAUUGGAGAACCAUGGUUAUAACGGAUAACGGAGAAUUAGGGUUUGACUCCGGAGAGGGAGCCUGAGAAACGGCUACCACAUCCAAGGAAGGCAGCAGGCGCGAAAAUUACCCACUCUCAGUUCGAGGAGGUAGUGACGAAAAAUAACAAGACCGAUCGCUUUGCGAGCGGUUAUUGAAAUGGGUACAAUUUAAACCUUUUAACGAGGACCUAUGAGAGGGCAAGUCUGGUGCCAGCAGCCGCGGUAAUUCCAGCUCUCAAAAUGUACUUAACCAUUGUUGCGGUUAAAAAGCUCGUAGUUGGAUCUACGCUGCGCGGAACGGUUCGUUCAUUGAGCGUUAACUGUUUCACGUGGCUCUCUUUUGUCGGUUUUCGGCUAGUGUCCUUAACGGGGUGUUAGUUGCGGCUGACGCUUUUACCUUGAAUAAAUUAGAGUGCUUAAAACAGGCGUUUAGCUUGAAUAUGCUAGCAUGGAAUAAUGGAAUAGGACUUUGGUUCGAUUUUAUUGGUUUUAUGAAUUGAAGUAAUGAUUAGUAGGAUCAAACGGGGGCAUCCGUAUUGAUACGUGAGAGGUGAAAUUCUGGGACCGUAGCAAGACGACCGACUGCGAAAGCAUUUGCCAAGAAUGUUUUCAUUAAUCAAGAACGAAAGUUAGGGGAACAAAAGCGAUCAGAUACCGCCCUAGUCCUAACCAUAAACUCUGCCCACUAGCGAUCCGUCGGCGGUUUUUUUGCCCUGAUGGGGAGCUUCC
Molecule: ribosomal RNA, 965 nt
Filed under: Steinernema biddulphi
Lineage: Eukaryota; Metazoa; Nematoda; Chromadorea; Rhabditida; Steinernematidae
Description: SSU rRNA
Rfam family: Eukaryotic small subunit ribosomal RNA
Source: RNAcentral